GGUUAUUAUCUUGAAUAUUAUUAUAGAUAGAGAUAAACUGUAAACAGGAAUAAUGUUCAGCAAAGUAAGAUUUACAAAUAAGUCAACAUGACGGAAAUGGUCAGUUGACCCCUUUAGGAGUUAUUGCCCUUUAUAGUCAAUUUUUAACCAUUUUUUUCGUAAAUCUUAGUAAUCUUUUACAAAAAUCUUCUCCUCUGAAACUACUGGGCC
This 210-nucleotide long non-coding RNA is filed under the name Mytilus galloprovincialis (Mediterranean mussel). Lineage: Eukaryota; Metazoa; Mollusca; Bivalvia; Mytilida; Mytilidae. The record is from RNAcentral.